UACGUAGGGUGCGAGCGUUGUCCGGAUUUAUUGGGCGUAAAGAGCUCGUAGGCGGUUUGUCGCGUCUGCCGUGAAAGUCCGGGGCUCAACUCCGGAUCUGCGGUGGGUACGGGCAGACUAGAGUGCAGUAGGGGAGACUGGAAUUCCUGGUGUAGCGGUGAAAUGCGCAGAUAUCAGGAGGAACACCGAUGGCGAAGGCAGGUCUCUGGGCCGACACUGACGCUGAGGAGCGAAAGCGUGGGGAGCGAACAGG
Molecule: ribosomal RNA, 253 nt
Filed under: uncultured bacterium
Lineage: Bacteria
Description: partial 16S ribosomal RNA
Rfam family: Bacterial small subunit ribosomal RNA
Source: RNAcentral